AUGUAAAAGAUUAUUAAUAAAUCAAUUUUAAUAAUUUUAAUAUAAGUAAAUUUUUUUUAUUAUAAAUUAGAACUAAUAUUUUUUAAUUAUAGUUAAUUAGUAUUGAGAAAGAAUUUUAUUUUAUAUUUAAAAGAAAAAUUAAGUUUUUGUACCUUGUGUAUCAGGGUCUAUUAAAUUAAUUUAUUAAUUUAAAUUUCUCGAAUUUAAAAGAGCUAGAAAAAAAUAAUUAAUAUUGUUGAAUAAAUAUAUAUAAUUUUUUUUUAGUAAUGAAACGUUAUUCGUUUUUAAAUAUAUCUAGUUUUUUAAGAAAAAAAUUAAAUUUUAUUUUAGUAAAGUAAUUUAUUUAUUAAAUAAUGAAUUAUUUACUAAAUUAAAUAUUUUUAGGGAUUAGCUUAAAAAUAAAGUCUUAUAAAAUAAAUUAUUAAUAAUAGAAUAUAGAAUUAAAAAUUUUCAUUAUUUAUAAUUUGUUAUAAUUAUCUAUUUAAAAAUUAUUAUUUUUAUUAUUUUUAGAUUUUUUAUUAAAAUAUUAAUUUUAAUAUUUAAAAUUAAGUAAUAAUGAUAGAAUUAGUAUAUUUAAAAUUAUGAAUAAAAUUAAUUUUUAGGUUAAAUAAAGGAAUUCGGCAAAGGAUUUUUCACCUGUUUAUUAAAAACAUGUCUUUUUGAAAUUAAUAUAAAGUCUAACCUGCCCACUGAUAAUUUAAAUGGCCGCGGUAUUUUGACUGUGCUAAGGUAGCAUAAUCAUUUGUUCUUUAAUUGAGAGCUGGAAUGAACGGUUGGAUGGGAAAUAACUGUCUCUAUUUAAUUAAUGUAGAAUUUUAUUUUUAAGUUAAAAAGCUUAAAUUUUCUUUAAAGACGAGAAGACCCUAUAGAGUUUUAUUUAUAGUUAUAAUUAAUAUAUUUUAGUAUUAAUAUAGUUAAUUUAAUUAUAAUUUUAAUUGGGGUGAUUGAAAAAUUUAAUUAACUUUUUUUAUUUUUUAACAUAAAUUUAUGAAUAAAUGAUCCAAUAUUUUUGAUUAUAAGAUAAAGUUACCUUAGGGAUAACAGCGUAAUUUUUUUUGAGAGUUCUUAUCGAAAAAAAAGAUUGCGACCUCGAUGUUGGAUUAAAAUUAAUUUUUGGCGCAGGAGCUAGGAUAUUAAGUCUGUUCGACUUUUAAAAUUUUACAUGAUCUGAGUUUAAACCGGCGUAAGCCAGGUUGGUUUCUAUCUUAAAUUAUUUAUAAUAUUUUAGUACGAAAGGAUUUAAUAUUAAAUAAAAUAUUUAUAUUUAGAAUAAAAUU
Molecule: ribosomal RNA, 1277 nt
Filed under: Tritoma metasobrina
Lineage: Eukaryota; Metazoa; Arthropoda; Insecta; Coleoptera; Erotylidae
Description: 16S ribosomal RNA
Rfam family: Archaeal large subunit ribosomal RNA (bases 1037-1195)
Source: RNAcentral